GACGAACGCUGGCGGCGUGCCUAACACAUGCAAGUCAAAGGAAAGCGGCUUUGGCCGGGAGUACUUGGCGCAAGGGUGAGUAAUGUAUAGGUAAUCUGCCCUUUGGACUGGGAUAACCCCGAGAAAUCGGGGACAAUACCAGAUGAUGCAGCGGAACCGCAUGGUUAUGUUGUUAAAGAUUUAUCGCCAAAGGAUGAACCUAUAUCCCAUCAGGUAGUUGGUAAGGUAACGGCUUACCAAGCCUACGACGGGUAGCUGGUUUGAGAGGAUGAUCAGCCACAUUGGAACUGAGACACGGUCCAGACUCCUACGGGAGGCAGCAGUGAGGAAUAUUGCGCAAUGGGCGAAAGCCUGACGCAGCAACGCCGCGUGGAUGAUGAAGUUUUUCGGAAUGUAAAGUCCUUUUGUAGAGGAAGAAUAUCUUGGUUUACCAGGACUGACGGUACCUUUACGAAUAAGCCCCCGAGGG
This 469-nucleotide ribosomal RNA is filed under the name uncultured bacterium. Its description in RNAcentral is "bacterial SSU rRNA". It matches the Rfam family "Bacterial small subunit ribosomal RNA", at positions 28 to 500 of the family's 1533-position model. The record is from RNAcentral.